GGGCGUAGUUUAGUGGUAAAACAACAGCCUUCCAAGCUGUGGUUGCGGGUUCGAUUCCCACCGCCC
This 66-nucleotide transfer RNA is filed under the name fish gut metagenome. It matches the Rfam family "tRNA". Rfam says of the family: Transfer RNA (tRNA) molecules are approximately 80 nucleotides in length. The record is from RNAcentral.